GAAAGACUGGUCAAGAGAAAUAAUAGACCGAUGACGCUUUAUUACCAGAAACAUCUCCUAAAAGAGCAUGCAAAUAAACUGACAAUACUCACUGGGAAUUCUUUUUUAUGGUGUGCUCUUUUUUUUUCCAGCAUCAUUGUCUUUGUCUGUAACCUUUCACAUCCUCCACCUGUUUCUGUGUGCAAAAUACAGAGAUUUUGGUUGUUAAAUUAAUGUGAAUACUACAAAGGACUAGAUUUUGCUUCCUGCUUGGGGCAACAAAAAGGUGCUCAAGCUGUAUUAAAACGCAUAAACAAAAAGAGCCCUUGCAAAAAGAGGUUAUUCUCUACAAGAAUAAAAUACCUAGCACCACGAAUACACUGAUCUCAAUACAGCUAACCCCUCAAAAUGCCCAACAUUCCUACAUAUGGAGUAAAUUAGAAAAAUUAAAUUGUUUCUUACUCGGUUUGCUAUUUUCAGUUCCAUAGCUUUUUUGUCUAUUGAAUAAUCCUCCCUUCACAAUUUUGUUUCUGAUGUGCAGUUUUUAGUAACAAUGUUUACUACGACUGUUGUAGAGGAAAUUCUUUAGGUUGAAGGCUCAAUCCCUUCCAUAAGUUCGUUAGGAAUAUGCUAAUAAAAAAUAAACUUCUACAAUUCUUAAGUAACUUGCAAAAGCAGGAAACCAAAGAGCAUAGAAUGUCGUAGUAAGGCCUAAGCCUUUACCACCAAAGCUACCAGACUAAACUCAGGAAUCAGAAUGAGUCCUGGAUAGCUCAAACACAUGGAAGCAGUCUGGGUCACCAGAGCACACUGAUGGCUGAGUGGAUUGCUAUUUCCCACGGCUGCACAGUGGUCCAAGUGAAAGGAGCUGGGAGGGACCCAGCUAGACACAACCACAGCAGGGAGCCACAGCUCCUGGGCAGUAAUCCAGCAGUCCCAUCAGCAUGGUGAAGUCAAAAGAAAGAAGAAAACUUUCCAAGCAUGGUGGGAACUGGAGGCAGGUCAACUUAUUCAUAAGACCUCUGCACAUAUAUACCCUGUCCACCGAAGCCAGACCAGAAGCCAACCCAAGAGAUGCUCUUUGCUCUGAAGCUUGGGCCUCCUUUAGCUCACACAACUGCCAAGUCUUGAUAACUACAUCUAGGCACAACAGUGCAAAAACCCUAUGUGUUUUCUCACACACCAUAGUCUGAGUAACACUGAGUGAAUGAAUAUCAUAUUCAUCACCUUAUCCUUUGCAUGUCCUCCAAGGGAGCAUGAAAGCUUCUGGAGAAAUGUCACUGUGCUUUUGUUUACUACCCAUGUUCUGAAAACGUAGGGGAUGUUCAUACAGAGAUCAUCAGGCAAAUGGCAUUAACAGCAGUAGCACGAGUACCAGUCACAGACUGGCAGAGAGCUUAUGAAUAGUACGAUGAAUGACCUGUAGCAAAAGCCAUGGGCAAGAGCUAGCCAUUAGUCUAGGGCUUAGUAAUGCACACUUCAAGUACAUUACUCACCAUCCAUCAGGCAACCCGCUAAAGAACUGAGAGAUUCCAGCACUUUUAAAUUUGUAACGCAGUGGCUGGCAGCCUGCACUACAUGCCCUAGGUUACAAGGGCAUGGAGAAAGACAAUUCAUUUUGUGUCACAGCCAGUAUUUCUUCUUCUCCUUUUCUGUGUGUACUUAAGAAAUGGGCCUUCUAUUACCUGCAGAUUAAUAGCAGAAUAAUCCUCUGGUGUCUCUGUUAACAUCAACUACUGAAGAAGGCUUUCAAAGAACUACCAACCCUUAUGGUUUUCAUUAACUGGACUAAGUGCAGAGAUGUGCAUGAGAAUGGAUUUGGUUUCUUAAUUCAAAGACAGUGCCUUAAACUAGAACAAUUACAAAGUACUUUUAGAAAACUGGAUGUGACAGAAUUUAGGUUGCCAGCAUAAUUUGGGUCUUCCUGUAUAAGCAUGUAAUAUGGACUCCAAUUAAUGAUCAUACAGUGUCCUAGAUUCAGAUAGUCAUAAGGUGGAUAAUGUACACAGAAAAAGUAAUCGGUCAGUAUUUCCUUUUCCCUCAUGCAAAUCAGUGUGUGGCUCGGCUUGUGUUUACUGCACACUUUUCAAACCUCACAAAGAACACUGUUAUUAAUUUCCUAGGGGAAAUUUCUAUGAUAUUCAUCACUACCUAAGUUCUUCAGGACCAUUACCUAAUCUCAGCACAUUCAUGAGGAAAGAGUUUUAUCAUCGACACUUUAAAAAUGCAGAAUGAAUGCAGAAAUUCAAGUAUUAGAUAUGUCCUCUAAUUUUAGGUGCUUGAAUCCACGUGUCUACUUCUGAACUGUGAAGCACUUAACAACUUUACAACACUACAGCAUGGACAUAUUUUGGUUCGUUUUCCUUCUCUGGAAUUAGUCUGGCAGGAAGGAGGAGAGGGGAGAGGACCUGAUGGCAUGUGCUGCUGACAACCAGCAAAUGGAAAUCAGGAGAUGAGGAGAAAGUUGACAGUGACAAUGCAGAAAAAGGGAGAAGCUAUGAAGAAAAAAAGGAUCCACAACAAUGGGGGUGAGAACAGAGGGUGGGAGGCAGAAAAAUGGAACAAUGAAUGAGAAAUGAGAAAAGAAUGCAUGGAAAAGCAUGUAGGCAUGACAGAACUGAAAUCAAAGCCCCGUCCAAAGUAAAAGCAGUAUAAUUUGCGAAUCAGUUUAAAAUGAUUUAACCCAACUGUUGCAAAAUCUAGAGCAAAGUCUUAAUUUGGGUUCAGAGUAGCUUAAUUUGAUAAUUAAUCAAUGCGUGCCUCUUUUAAAUGACUAUAAGAAUAUUUAGACAGGAUUCCUCACCACUUAAAUAUUUCAUUUUUAAAGACAAUUCAAGUUUUUAUAUGGAGUAUGCUUCAAAGAAACUGCAAAGACAAAGCACAGAGAAAACAGAAAAUUCUUAGCUAUAGCAAUACAAUCAGAAAACCAAGGCUAAAACACUAUAAAAAUCCACAGAAUUUCUUUCCAUCUAGUCUAAAGGGUCUGCUGGCCUACAGAAGGGCAGGUCUGGGCAGCCUCUGUGCCUGUGACUUGGUUCCUUGCACCCACAGAACAUGCUGAUACUGGCACUUAUUCAGGUGUUUGCAUGCAUGGCUGUGAAGCACAUGCAGACAUUCACACCUUGUGCUUCAGUGUAUACUUAGCAGCUUACGGCCUUCUUUGCAAGGCCUUAAAAUAUUCUAGUAUAGGACAAUUCAGUAGUUAUGUCCACGUUCUGUGGGACCAAAUCCUGCAGAUGUGGUCUAUGUUUGUUCUGCAGCUCUGUGCUGCACUUGGCCGGCUCUGUGCAGUGCCUGAGCGCUGGCCAAGCUGUGCCAGAUGCCUCGCCUGCCCACGCUGCUGCUCUUGUUUGAGCUCUGCCAGCACAUUUCCUGGUCGCUUCCUGUAUUUAAGACACCCAUCAGUAUUUCACCAAUUGCUUCUGUAUUUUCUCAAUGAAAGAGAAACUGAGGGUGUAAAUGGUCACAAUCCAUCUAAUAUAACAAUCUGCAUGGACCUGCAUGCUAAGAAACAACUCAGUCUUGCUUGCAGGACAAACCUGCUUCUGUUGGCUACCACUACAGUAUGAACUCCUCCAGCCACUCCAAACAAAGGUAUCACAUUUUUACCUGUAGAGGCACAGCAUUCUGCUUCCUCCUGGUCGCAGGCUCUCACUGCCAGAGCUCCUGCAUCCCCACCACUGCCUUGUUGCAACCAGGACUGCCCACAGCUGGGCUCCUACCAGAGAAGCUCACCUGCAGCUCCAACACCACCAUUUCAGCCACAUCACUGCUGGGGAGCCGCAGUGUGUGCCAUGUGUUAUCACCUGGGUUUCUUCCAGGGCUGGGCUUCCGUGCACCAAUCAAGCAGCUGAGCACAGGAACAGCUAUGCUGCUCCAAAGCUUGCUGACUGAGCUCAGGGUCACCUGGGGCAAAGAGCUGGCACUUCUUUUGCCUUUUUCUGAUUGUGAUUUGUUUACCAGAAUUGAGUAUUUGACCAACAAAUAAGUUGCUCUUUAAGAAACAACCUGAAACCUCAUUUCUUCUCGCUUGAUCAUUUGCCCUGGUAAGGCUGAAGUAAAAAAUAAACCAAGCCACUGCUGAAAAAGUACAGUGGUAACCUGAAUGCGGCCUUGGUGACCGAGUCAGGUCUUGAGCAGCUACAGAAAAAGCAUGUGAGAGCCAGGUUCUGCAACAGCACCUUUCUCUGCCCUCUGGGUUAUGCACACGAGAGAACACAGACUUAAGUCUUUGGUCACAUUCCUUUCCUGAAGCAGUCUAGCCUGGGAUCUUCAGAGAACAGCCUACUCUCAUCAGACACAAGACUCUCUUGACUGAACCUGUUUGAAACAUUCAACACAUUACCGUCUCAAGGAAAACUUUAGUCCUGCCUCGCCAUACUGAUCUGGCAGAGAGCUGAAUCCAGGCUGCAAGACGUGGAUUAGGGAGAUACCCAUAUGUCCUGGGGCACCAAUACCAGGGCUGCAGUUCUCCCUACAGACAUUACAUCAUUGCAGCUUGCUUUGAUCUGAGCUGUGGUCUUCAAAGCACCAAAGAUGCCACUGGCUUUUUCUGUCUCCCUUCAACAAGAUGCUCAGCUGCCUGCAGCUUGUGCCCAAGAUUCUGAGACCAGAGAAUCAGGAAUGAAUCUAACACAUGGGCUGCAUGUUGGAAAUAUGAAACAAAGCAAUAGUCAUGUCUCUGUAUUAUAAUAUAUUAAUGUUCGCAAUGUGCAAAUUGGACCCAGAGAUGUAAUUUCCACCUUUAAAAUUUAUUCUGUUUCUCUGUUGUCCCUCGAUCUUUCUACUUGCUUUCAAACAAGAGAGUCAAAACUGUAAAGAAUGACUCAAGGUAUCAAUGAAGAUAGAAUUAAUGGAACAAGCAGACCUGGUAUUGUAGAGGACUGCUCCCUAAUCAGCCACAGGGUUAUGCAGGUUUCCACUGCCGUGGCAGAAAUGAGGAGGGAAGGGCACACAACAAGGAAGCAGGAGCGGUAGGGAUUCACCUUGAAGGCUUUCAUGCGCAUGAACUCACACACACACAGAACAAAAGCAACUCUGCUGUGCCUAUGGGGAACUCUCACCCUCAGGCUAACCCUAAAGCAAGCAUUAACCUACUUAUUGCACCUCUAGGCAAUUUGCUGGGUGAGGAAGCUGACUAUUUGGGGAGGAAGGUGAGCAGAUCUCAGAUAUUCUCAGCACAAUAUCCCCGUCUGCUGCUGAAGUACAGCACAGUGAAGGCCUGGUCUGGAUCACCUGUAUCAGGUCUGUUGAUCUGCCUACCUCACAUGUGAGGCAGAGAACAAGGAUGUGACCACCUGCCCUGCACACGAAGUACCCUCAGACUGAAAGAGCAGCACACUGCCUGUCAUGUGGGAGAAGUGCCAAGGGCUCUGCUGUGGAGCUUGGGCUCACUCAGGCUUUGCUGGCCAAGCAGCAUUUGUCCUUUCUUAAGAUUUACGCUAUGCCUCUGGACUCAGAAAACAUGCCAUUGGCCUGACUGUCACUUUGCAUCUUCAGGAACUGCCAUCAGUGCUUCCAUGCAGACAGUCGGCUCCAGAUUCAGUAGGUAUUGCUGUCAGUUUUAGCACCAGUCAUCAUGCUGCUGCCCUUGAAACACACAUACGUGGAUGCCGGAGCAGACCAUCCCCAUCGCUGUCGGUCUGGGGACAGCACUGUGAUUAGUUACAGGCAACGACAGAGAACACCAAGCCACUGAGCUGGCAAGGGAAGUAAGCACACUGAAACAGGGCACCAGGACAGACAAAACAUGAGAAAGAGCGACAGAUAGCAUAUGGCCAUGGGCGAGCAGGAGCCUGGGCAUGAUGUGAGCAGGAAACAGGGUGAGCAGGCAGGUGAGAAAGGGAAGGGCACCAGCUGAGAGCAAGUCCCAGAGCUACAGCAGGAAUGCGUAACUAAGCUAAGGCUGGCCUUCCCUGGGAGCUUUCAGCAGUGCUUAUGGCACUGAUAGCCAGCAGUGUUUGUAUACUUCGCACUUGGGAUUCCGUGUUUAGAAAAGGAACACAAGGUUCCAAGAAAGAAAAACCACAAAUAAUUCCAGCUAAGAGUCCAAUCCUACGCAAUCUGCUCCUUUGGUUACUGAACAUAAUGUAAAUAUUCAGUUGAAUUUUAUUCUGCUAAGAUAUUUAACCAUUUCAUUGCCAACCAGAGUUGUGUCUACAAAUACAGACCAGUUCCAGUGACCAUGGCCUGACAAAGGUUGUAAACAGCACCUUCUGAUGUUCAGGACCCUAACAUCAGGCUGAACACUGAGAAGGAUCCUGAUGAUGAUGUCAGACUUUAGCACCUUGCCUCGUUUCUCUCACGAUGCCUUUCAUACAAAACUACUCGAUUUCCUGUGUCUGCAGCGCACAGGCAGUAUCUGCCCGUAGUACCUUUGAUAUUUUUAGUCAUGCUGUACAGUACCAUCUCGCUUAAAAUUUGUCUUCAUUUGAGCCCAGGCCCAGUGCCCUGGCUGCCAUCCUUGUUUCAUCUAGGCCAGGAACAAAGGAACUGCACGUUACAGCCUGUCUGUCUGACCGUGUUUUGUUAUACAUAUUUUCUCUCUUCUACAAGUGAUAAGCUUGCUUCCAUUUAAAGCCCGCAGUCAGCUUUAAUCUACUUAGCUGGGAUUAAUGAGAGAUUUGUUAAAGAUUUAAAGAUUUUACACACUUUGCUUACAACUGUUGUUAUCUACAAACAUUGGGCAAUAAGCCCCAUGCAGACAAACUGUCCUUAAAGUCAGGCACAUCCAUCAGGUGUGCCCAGGCUGGCAAAGCAACACUGAUGGCUGACACCUGUUGUGGG
This is a long non-coding RNA of Gallus gallus (chicken), 6765 nucleotides long. The record is from Ensembl. NCBI's taxonomy places the organism in Eukaryota, Metazoa, Chordata, Aves, Galliformes, Phasianidae.